UGCCAAACUCUAGCCCAAUAGACCUGACCUGGAAUAACAAAGCCACUACCAAAACCCAACUAAAGCAUUUACUAGUCCCAGUAUAGGCGAUAGAAAAGACACCACUUGGAGCGAUAGAGACCACGUACCGUAAGGGAAAGAUGAAAUAAAAAUGAAACAAAUAAGCUAAAAACAGCAAAGAUCAACCCUUGUACCUUUUGCAUCAUGGUCUAGCAAGAAAAACCAAGCAAAAUGAAUUUAAGUUUGCCACCCCGAAACCCAAGCGAGCUACUUACGAGCAGCUAUUAUUGAGCGAACCCGUCUCUGUUGCAAAAGAGUGGGACGACUUGUUAGUAGAGGUGAAAAGCCAACCGAGCUGGGUGAUAGCUGGUUGCCUGUGAAACGAAUCUUAGUUCACUCUUAAUUCUUCUCCAAGGAAACCCAAAACCCUAAUGAAGCGAAUUAAGGGCUAUUUAAAGGAGGUACAGCUCCUUUAAAAAAGAAAACAAUCUCCACGAGCGGAUAAAUAACUUCUACCAAAGACUAUUGUGGGCCCUCAAGCAGCCAUCAACAAAGAGUGCGUUAAAGCUCUGUGCCUUAAAAAUACAUAAACCAUAUGACUCCCUCCCCACUAACAGGCUAACCUAUUGACAAUAGGAGAAUUAAUACUAGAAUGAGUAACCUGGGCUCCCCCUCUUCGACGCAAGCUUACAUCAGUACAUUAUUAACAAGUACCAUAUACGAUCAAUCCAACAAGCACAGUAUUAAAACCCUUGUUAACCCGACAGAGGAGCGUCCACUAAGAAAGAUUAAAACCUGUAAAAGA
Molecule: ribosomal RNA, 805 nt
Filed under: Psaltriparus minimus minimus
Lineage: Eukaryota; Metazoa; Chordata; Aves; Passeriformes; Aegithalidae
Description: partial 16S ribosomal RNA
Rfam family: Bacterial large subunit ribosomal RNA (bases 174-805)
Source: RNAcentral